RNAcentral lists this ribosomal RNA (492 nucleotides) under uncultured bacterium. Its description in RNAcentral is "partial 16S ribosomal RNA". It matches the Rfam family "Bacterial small subunit ribosomal RNA", at positions 29 to 507 of the family's 1533-position model. The record is from RNAcentral.
AGUGAACGCUGGCGGUAGGCCUAACACAUGCAAGCCGAACGGCAGCACAGUAAGAGCUUGCUCUUACGGGUGGCGAGUGGCGGACGGGUGAGGAAUACAUCGGAAUCUACUUUUUCGUGGGGGAUAACGUAGGGAAACUUACGCUAAUACCGCAUACGACCUACGGGUGAAAGCAGGGGAUCUUCGGACCUUGCGCGAUUGAAUGAGCCGAUGUCGGAUUAGCUAGUUGGCGGGGUAAAGGCCCACCAAGGCGACGAUCCGUAGCUGGUCUGAGAGGAUGAUCAGCCACACUGGUACUGAGACACGGUCCAGACUCCUACGGGAGGCAGCAGUGGGGAAUAUUGGACAAUGGGCGCAAGCCUGAUCCAGCCAUACCGCGUGGGUGAAGAAGGCCUUCGGGUUGUAAAGCCCUUUUGUUGGGAAAGAAAAGCAGCAGGUUAAUACCCCGCUGUUCUGACGGUACCCAAAGAAUAAGCACCGGCUAACUUCGUG